AGUUGAUCCUGGCUCAGAACGAACGCUGGCGGUAUGCUUAACACAUGCAAGUCGAACGGUAACAGGCAGAAGCUUGCUUUUGCGCUGACGAGUGGCGGACGGGUGCGUAACGCGUGGGAAUCAACCCUAAAGCGGAGGACAACUCGAGGAAACUCGAGCUAAUACUGCAUAUUCUCUACGGAGAAAAGAGGGCCUCUAUUUAUAAGCUCUCACUUUAGGAUGAGCCCGCGUUGGAUUAGCUUGUUGGUGAGGUAAAGGCUCACCAAGGCGACGAUCCAUAGCUGGUCUGAGAAGACGAACAGCCACACUGGGACUGAGACACGGCCCAGACUCCUACGGGAGGCAGCAGUGGGGAAUAUUGGACAAUGGGCGAAAGCCUGAUCCAGCAAUACCGCGUGUGUGAAGAAGGCCCUUGGGUUGUAAAGCACUUUAGUUGAGGAAGAAAAGCUUAGGAUUAAUAAUCCUGAGCCUUGACGUUACUCAAAGAAUAAGCACCGGCUAACUCUGUGCCAGCAGCCGCGGUAAGACAGAGGGUGCAAGCGUUAAUCGGAAUUACUGGGCGUAAAGAGUACGUAGGCGGCUCGUUAAGUUGGAUGUGAAAGCCCCGGGCUUAACCUGGGACGGUCAUCCAAGACUGGCGAGCUAGAGUUCGAGAGAGGUGAGUGGAAUUCCAAGUGUAGAGGUGAAAUUCGUAGAUAUUUGGAGGAACACCAGUGGCGAAGGCGGCUCACUGGCUCGAUACUGACGCUGAGGUACGAAAGUGUGGGGAGCAAACAGGAUUAGAUACCCUGGUAGUCCACACCGUAAACGAUGAAUGCCAGACGUCGGGGGGCUUGCCCUUCGGUGUCACACCUAACGGAUUAAGCAUUCCGCCUGGGGAGUACGGCAAAGGAAUUGACGGGGGCCCGCACAAGCGGUGGAGCAUGUGGUUUUGACAUCCUUGGACCGCUAGAGAGAUCUAGUUUUCUCGUAAGAGA
RNAcentral lists this ribosomal RNA (977 nucleotides) under uncultured Antarctic sea ice bacterium. RNAcentral's name for it is "bacterial SSU rRNA". It matches the Rfam family "Bacterial small subunit ribosomal RNA", at positions 10 to 1026 of the family's 1533-position model. The record is from RNAcentral.